GACGAACGCUGGCGGCGUGCUUAACACAUGCAAGUCGAACGGAAAGGCCAAGCUUUUGGGGGGUGCUCUAGCGGCGAACGGAUGAGUAACAAGUGAGUAACCUGCCCUCGACUUUGGGAUAACUACAGGAAAAUGGGGCUACUACCGGCUCGGAGCUUCUGCUGCACGGUGGGGGUUGGAAAGUUUCGGCGGGUGGGGAUGGACUCGCGGGUUGUCAGCGUGAUGGGGGGGUAGUGGCUUACCAAGGCUUUGACGGGUCGCCGGCCUGAGAGGGUGACCGGCCACAUUGGGACGGAGAUGCGGCCCAGACUCCUACGGGAGGCAGCAGUGGGGAAUAUUGCACAAUGGGCGGAAGCCGGAUGCAGCAACGCCGCGUGCGGGAUGACGGCCUUCGGGUUGUAAACCGCUUUCGCCUGUGACGAAGCGUGAGUGACGGUAAUGGGUAAAGAAGCACCGGCUAACUACGUG
This 468-nucleotide ribosomal RNA is filed under the name uncultured bacterium. RNAcentral's name for it is "partial 16S ribosomal RNA". It matches the Rfam family "Bacterial small subunit ribosomal RNA", at positions 28 to 507 of the family's 1533-position model. The record is from RNAcentral.